This 422-nucleotide ribosomal RNA is filed under the name uncultured bacterium. Its description in RNAcentral is "bacterial SSU rRNA". It matches the Rfam family "Bacterial small subunit ribosomal RNA", at positions 355 to 774 of the family's 1533-position model. The record is from RNAcentral.
UGAGGAAUAUUGGACAAUGGGCGCAAGCCUGAUCCAGCCAUGCCGCGUGCAGGAAGAAGCAUCUAUGGUGUGUAAACUGCUUUUGUACGGGAAGAAACACUCCUUCGUGAAGGAGCUUGACGGUACCGUAAGAAUAAGGAUCGGCUAACUCCGUGCCAGCAGCCGCGGUAAUACGGAGGGUCCAAGCGUUAUCCGGAAUCAUUGGGUUUAAAGGGUCCGUAGGCGGUUUAGUAAGUCAGUGGUGAAAGCCCAUCGCUCAACGAUGGAACGGCCAUUGAUACUGCUAGACUUGAAUUAUUAAGAAGUGACUGGAAUAUGUAGUGUAGCGGUGAAAUGCUUAGAUAUUACAUGGAAUACCAAUUGCGAAGGCAGGUUACUGCUCAUGGAUUGACGCUGAUGGACGAAAGCGUGGGGAGCGAACA